Long non-coding RNA from Adelges cooleyi (spruce gall adelgid), 1736 nucleotides. RefSeq lists it as uncharacterized. The record is from RefSeq and is a predicted model, not a curated record. NCBI's taxonomy places the organism in Eukaryota, Metazoa, Arthropoda, Insecta, Hemiptera, Adelgidae. The transcript is spliced from 6 exons.
GUACUUACAUGCGUUAUUGCUAUAAAAUUUUAAUACCUUGUACACUAUUAAAUUCACAAAUUUGUAUUUACUAGACGUUACUCACAGCUCACUAGUUUACUAGACUAUAGAUUUUACCAAUUUAUCAAUAAAAGUUGAAUUAAGGUGUUGAGUCAUUGUUGUUCAAAUUUUUCCUACAGAAAAAACAAUCCGACUUGAUAAUUUUACCCUUUUUUUAACAUAUAUUAUAUACAUCAGGAUAGACGACUUGAGAGAUGGAGCCAACGGACAGCGAUGACGAAAGAGAAAUUUUGGCAAGGAAUUGGAGAAAACAUCUACUUGAUGUACAAAAAACAGCUUUACGGGAUGGAGCUACCAGCACCGAACCAGAAUCGGAUGUAAUGUUUCAAAUGGGAUUUGAUAGCGGUUACAAUGAAGGAUUUAAACGAGGUUAUGAGCAAGGAUCAUAUAACAGUACUAUGAGGUUAUUAAAACAAUUCAAUAUGUCUGAAGAUAAUGACCAAGAUGGCACAAUAAUAAGCACUGCCAAUUGUUGAAAACUAUUUCACAUUUAUCCUUCAAAAAAAUGUUCCAGUUUGUAUUACUUGUAAAUCAAGACGAGUGAAUUAUGAGCUUUUCAUUGGGAAAAAAAAAAAAAUAAUUAUCAUAGAAAUGAACACAAAGUUAAUCGCUGUCGUCGUUAGGCGGAUUCAAAGGUUUAUGGCUUUCAUCAUCAGAUCCAUAAGGACCGUCUUCUUCGGAAUCGUUAACCAUUGAAAAAGCUGGGUUGUCUUUUGUUAUUGAAGAUUCUAAAUCAUUUGAAAACCGAUGAAGCGAAUACACUGCAGCUAGAGUGUACACGUAAAAAUUACAAAUCCCGUAAAAUGUCAUGAACAAGGCCGACGACAUGUAUUCAGUAUUUAAAUCGGCGGCAAAUGUAUCUUCGAUUAAACCGAAUCCAUAUCGCAUGUACGUGAUGAUAAAACAAAUAAGCAGCGAAAUAACCAUUGAAAUGCUUACAAACUUUAGUCUUGCAUCUAAAAAAUAGGAUUAUUAUAUUUUUAUCACACAAUUUGUUGAAUUAACUAAAUUGUUAUCAAACUCACCGAAGUAGGGCAUCGAACGCAAAUCACUGUAUGCUCUCAAAAUCAAGCACACCAAGAAUAAAAUGUAAACGAAUGCGAAAAUGUUCACGCACAGCUUUAUGUUCUGUAAAGAAAACACAUAAUUACAACAUUCUUCCUAAUGGACACCUAAGAUGAUUACAAUGAUUUACCGAAAAAGCAUUGGUAUCGAUCUCAUAACUGAAUGCUGGAUCUUCGAAUUCAUUUAUACGUCGAUACUUGGCAAUUAAAACACCGCUCAACCAAAACGGACUUACUAAAGCGAUUUUGAAUAGAUAAAAUGUCAGUGGUUUUCUUUCAUUCUAAACCAAAAUAAAAGGGUUUGGUAUUUAACAGAAAUUAUAACCAUUGUAUGUUUAUUAUAUUGUUCAAGUUUUAAAUACCUGGCGGAGUCCAUGAUAGAUGCAAAGCCAAUAGAAUAGUAUAGCACAAAUAAAUGUGAUUUGGAAAACUCCAUCGGCGACUCCGAUUACUUCGUUGCCGGUCAGAAGUGUCAGAGGGAAAAAUGGAUCUAAAAAGUUGUUCACGCUAAUAAUUGAAAUAUUACUGUAAAAGUGAACUAUUUAAAUAACAUCAAAUUACGUACUGUUAAAUAAAAUAAGUAAAGGCAAUAAAAUGAUGGUCCAUUUCUGU